UGGCUUGCAUUGCAUGCAGCUGCCGGAUGGAAGAAGAGAUGGUGGUGCCGGGCACGCAUGGUCGAGCCGAGCGAGCGCAGCGUCCCGAGGCUGACGCGAUGCUCGCUCUCGAUCCCUCUUUGACCACAUGCAUGCAUGCUGACUUGCUUCUCGGUCACUGGUCCAGUGACCUCGAACCAUCAGCCUCUUCUAGCUCUCCCAUGCCGUCCGGCUGCAUGAGGUCUUUACCUUAAUUUUCGGUCAAUGUUCCUGUUUCUCCAUCUCUUCUUUUCUUUUCCACAUCUCUGUAGGAACCUUGCCUCAAAGGUACGGGUGUUACCGCUUCCUGUCGUCCGUCUCUUGCCUUGUCCCUCGGAAGUUCAAGAGAAUGUCAUAUUUGCCACUAAAAUUCUGCCCAAAUGUUAUUUGGAGUUUUUUGUUUCUAAAUUUAUUAUUCAAAAUUUGCAUGGUACAAAUAUGUCACUACCGUUAGUUGACUGUUAAGCAAAAGAUGAACAAUUGUCAGUUUUUUCAUAUUGACCAAAAUACCCCUAGAUCCACAUGUUAGAAAAAAAGAGAGUAAAAUACCCUUGAGCCCCCCUCUCUCCGUCAGAAAAAAGACAAAAAAAAUGAUGAUCGAGUUUUGGUAUAUUAGUCUACUGAAAUCUAUUAUGAAUUUGUGAUGUUAAGUAAAAUCAAGGGGAAGCGUUAAAAAUUAAGGUAUAUUAGUCUACUGAAAUUUUCAUUACAAAAAAUGGAAGCGUUAAAAAUGCCACCUGUCCAAUUGCAUAGAAGAAAUAUUUAAAAAAAUAUAUAUAUUAAUUACAAAUGUAUACCUUAGAGAACGUUGUUGUUCUCGACAACAAUUAGCGUAAGGGGUGCCAAAACUCGAUGGCACAAGUGCGAGUAUAAAAGUAGGGCGUGUACGCCGACCUUAUAGCGA
This 922-nucleotide long non-coding RNA is filed under the name Brachypodium distachyon (stiff brome). RNAcentral's name for it is "long non-coding RNA (BDIS_LNC005724)". Lineage: Eukaryota; Viridiplantae; Streptophyta; Magnoliopsida; Poales; Poaceae. The record is from RNAcentral.